GACCGGCACUCUGGAAAGCGGGCGGGACACCGCCCCACCGAAGGGGUAAGCAUGGGCGCCGGCUGGCGUUCCUGCGAAAGCUCUCAGGUUCCGUGACAGAGGGGGCGGC
Molecule: non-coding RNA, 109 nt
Filed under: Sphingomonas sp.
Lineage: Bacteria; Pseudomonadati; Pseudomonadota; Alphaproteobacteria; Sphingomonadales; Sphingomonadaceae
Description: Glycine sequence
Rfam family: Glycine riboswitch aptamer
About the family: This family represents the bacterial glycine riboswitch. Glycine riboswitches usually consist of two metabolite-binding aptamers domains with similar structures in tandem. The aptamers cooperatively bind glycine to regulate the expression of downstream genes.
Source: RNAcentral